UACAGAGACUGCAAGCGUUAUUCGGAUUCACUGGGCGUAAAGGGUGCGCAGGCGGCCGUGUGUGUUAGGCGUGAAAGCCCGAGGCUUAACCUCGGAAUUGCACCUAAAACUACACGGCUAGAGUACUGGAGAGGGUAGCGGAAUUCACGGUGUAGCAGUGAAAUGCGUAGAUAUCGUGAGGAACACCAAUGGCGAAGGCAGCUACCUGGACAGUUACUGACGCUCAGGCACGAAAGCGUGGGGAGCAAAAGGG
This 253-nucleotide ribosomal RNA is filed under the name uncultured bacterium. RNAcentral's name for it is "partial 16S ribosomal RNA". It matches the Rfam family "Bacterial small subunit ribosomal RNA", at positions 524 to 776 of the family's 1533-position model. The record is from RNAcentral.